RNAcentral lists this long non-coding RNA (994 nucleotides) under Rosa chinensis. RNAcentral describes it as "sRNA RchiOBHm_Chr6g0297091". The record is from RNAcentral. Lineage: Eukaryota; Viridiplantae; Streptophyta; Magnoliopsida; Rosales; Rosaceae.
GUAAUUUUAUGCCAGAUUAUUGGUGGGGAGGUGACCUAAUUAGUACCUUUGGUUGACUAGUAUGUGAUUUUCUUUUUGCAGGUUUUCUUGUUUUUCCGUUUGGUUUCAGGGCUCAGAGGUAUAUUUGUUUCUUUUCUGGGUUGUUAUUUUCUUUACUGUCAGUGACAUAUUAAGAGUGCUUUCAUAGAUGAGUUGUACUAGCACUUUGCUGGGUUGUGAUUUUCUUUAUUGUCAGUGACAUAUUAAGAGUGCGUUCAUAGAUGAGUUGUACUAAACACUUGAAUGAUCACAUAUUAAGUUUGCUUUGAGCUUGUCAACUUCGUUAUCAGUUUUUGAAUAUCUUCUUUUUGUGCUUGUCAAUUUCAUGGCUCACCAUAUGCAUGAUGGACAAGUUAAUUGACCUCAGGCACUAUUUUUUCAGUAGCUGUUGAUUAUUUGUAAAUCUAGACUAGAAUCUGUUGCAUGCAUGAAUCUUCGACUUCUAAUUUUUUGACCUAUUGUAUAAAUAAGUUAUCUGCUUCAUGAGUCAUAAGAGAAUUCAUUGUUCAGAAAAUUUUAACUUGUAGUUGGCCUUCAUGAGGAGAUUUUCUUCACUCUGUUCAACAACAACUAACACCUGAGUUUCGAGAAGUUUGAACUACCUCAGUGGGGAAUUUGAUAUAUGUAAAAGAUCUUAGCAUUCUGCGUCAGCAUAGUUUCUCUGAGCUAAUUGUAAACAAGGCAGGGGGUGAAAGUGGACCGCUUUUUCAUUUUUAUGUACAUGAGGAUGUGCGGACAAUUGCCGAUGCUACAAUAGAGAAGGAUGAGGUUAUCAAUAAGAGUGGAGCUACUCCAGCAAUAGUGUGUGAUAGUUGUAAAUGAGAAGCUUUGUGAUUGUCUCCCAAUUUGUUGACAUAGAUGAGAUGUCUUGAGUGAGAUAAUGUAAACUUGAGUUACUAAUCUUUAUGGAAUUUUCAAUAUGUAAUUACUACUUUGAUUUAUAAUAAAAGUGAUU